UACGUAGGGUGCAAGCGUUAAUCGGAAUUACUGGGCGUAAAGCGUGCGCAGGCGGCUUUGCAAGACAGAUGUGAAAUCCCCGGGCUCAACCUGGGAACUGCAUUUGUGACUGCAUGGCUGGAGUGCGGCAGAGGGGGAUGGAAUUCCGCGUGUAGCAGUGAAAUGCGUAGAUAUGCGGAGGAACACCGAUGGCGAAGGCAAUCCCCUGGGCCUGCACUGACGCUCAUGCACGGAAGCGUGGGGAGCAAACAGG
RNAcentral lists this ribosomal RNA (253 nucleotides) under uncultured bacterium. Its description in RNAcentral is "partial 16S ribosomal RNA". It matches the Rfam family "Bacterial small subunit ribosomal RNA", at positions 524 to 776 of the family's 1533-position model. The record is from RNAcentral.